Molecule: ribosomal RNA, 379 nt
Filed under: uncultured bacterium
Lineage: Bacteria
Description: bacterial SSU rRNA
Rfam family: Bacterial small subunit ribosomal RNA
Source: RNAcentral
UAAGACGAGUGUGGCAAGCGUUGUUCGGAAUUACUGGGCAUAAAGAGCACGUAGGCGGUUUUGUAAGUCAGAUGUGAAAGCCCUCGGCUCAACCGAGGAACUGCAUUUGAAACUACAGAACUAGAACCAAGGAGGGGAGAGUGGAAUUCCUGGUGGAGCGGUGAAAUGCAUAGAUAUCAGGAGGAACGCCGGCGGCGAAAGCGACUCUCUGGUCUUGUGUUGACGCUGAGGUGCGAAAGCUAGGGGAGCGAAGAGGAUUAGAUACCCUCGUAGUCCUAGCCGUAAACGAUGGGCACUUGAUUGAGGGGCGCUCCGAUGCGUUUCUCAGUCGGAGCUAAUGCGUUAAGUGCCCCGCCUGGGGAGUACGGCCUCAAGGCUA